UACGAACUGUGCAAACGUUAUUCGGAUUCACUGGGCUUAAAGGGUGCGUAGGCGGCCAUGUAAGUAGGGUGUGAAAUCCCCCGGCUUAAUCGGGGAACUGCGCCCUAAACUGUGUGGCUUGAGUGAGAUAGGGGUGUGUGGAACUUCCGGUGGAGCGGUGAAAUGUGUUGAUAUCGGAAGGAACGCCGGUGGCGAAAGCGACACACUGGGUCUCAACUGACGCUGAGGCACGAAAGCCAGGGGAGCGAACGGG
RNAcentral lists this ribosomal RNA (253 nucleotides) under uncultured bacterium. RNAcentral's name for it is "partial 16S ribosomal RNA". It matches the Rfam family "Bacterial small subunit ribosomal RNA", at positions 524 to 776 of the family's 1533-position model. The record is from RNAcentral.